UCUCCCUCUCCCUCUCAAUCUCCCUUGAUCUCCCUCUCCCAAUCUCCCUCGAUCUCCCUCUCCCAAUCUCAACCCUCUCUCUCGAUCGCCCUCUCCCGAUCUCAACCCUCUCUCUCGAUCUCCCUCUCCCUCAAUCUCCCUCUCCCUCGAUCUCCCUCUCCUUCUUCCGAUCUCGACCCUCUCUCUCUCGAUCUCCCUCUCACUCUCCCUCCCUCUCUCGAUCUCCCUCUCCCUGCAACAUCCCUCUCCCUGCAUUUCCUCUCAAAUGAAAGAUGCAGUCGUGCAUUUGAAUCUGUGGAAGAAGAGAAAUCAACAGUAGAGAAUGCAGGACAAAGUUAGCAUUGACCCAUGGUAGUCCAGGUUCAACUCUCUCUACCUUGUUAGGCAUCUGUAUACUUGGGUUUAUUUUCAUGGUAUUUUGAUUAUUUACAAUGGCACGUUCUUUAUUAUUAUUUUUUUCCCCUCGUCUUUUCUGGUGGCGAUAAAGCAAACAUGUUCAACAUGAUAAAUAUAAUUACUAACUAGACAAUGUAUUGUGCUUGUAUUCCAUUUAUCUGAAAAUGGCUUCCAGUUUUCCCA
Magnolia sinica is the source of this 579-nucleotide long non-coding RNA. RefSeq lists it as uncharacterized. The record is from RefSeq and is a predicted model, not a curated record. The transcript is spliced from 2 exons. NCBI's taxonomy places the organism in Eukaryota, Viridiplantae, Streptophyta, Magnoliopsida, Magnoliales, Magnoliaceae.